Molecule: ribosomal RNA, 253 nt
Filed under: uncultured bacterium
Lineage: Bacteria
Description: partial 16S ribosomal RNA
Rfam family: Bacterial small subunit ribosomal RNA
Source: RNAcentral
UACGUAGGUGGCAAGCGUUGUCCGGAAUUAUUGGGCGUAAAGCGCGCGCAGGCGGUUCUUUAAGUCUGAUGUGAAAGCCCACGGCUCAACCGUGGAGGGUCAUUGGAAACUGGAGAACUUGAGUACAGAAGAGGAAAGUGGAAUUCCACGUGUAGCGGUGAAAUGCGUAGAGAUGUGGAGGAACACCAGUGGCGAAGGCGGCUUUCUGGUCUGUAACUGACGCUGAGGCGCGAAAGCGUGGGGAGCAAACAGG